This 468-nucleotide ribosomal RNA is filed under the name uncultured bacterium. RNAcentral describes it as "bacterial SSU rRNA". It matches the Rfam family "Bacterial small subunit ribosomal RNA", at positions 55 to 518 of the family's 1533-position model. The record is from RNAcentral.
AUGCAAGUCGAGGGCGAUCGGGAGUAGCAAUACUGCCGGCGACCGGCGCAAGGUGCGUAACGCGUGAGCAACAUGCCCGUAUCAGGGGGAUAAUCCAUGGAAACGUGGUCUAAUACCCCAUAGUAAUUAUGUAAGGCAUCUUAUAUAAUUUAAAGCUUUGGUGGAUACGGAUUGGCUCGCGUGACAUUAGCUAGAUGGUAAGGUAACGGCUUACCAUGGCUACGAUGUCUAGGGGUUCUGAGAGGAAGGUCCCCCACACUGGAACUGAGACACGGUCCAGACUCCUACGGGAGGCAGCAGUGAGGAAUAUUGGACAAUGGAUGGAAAUCUGAUCCAGCCAUGGCCGCGUGCAAGGAAGACGGCCCUAUGGGUUGUAAACUGCUUUUGUAUGGGAGCAAUAAGGGCUACGCGUAGUCCGAUGAGAGUACCAUACGAAUAAGCACCGGCUAACUCCGUGCCAGCCGCCGC